GGGGUGUGCUCAGAGCAGGGGCCUGAAGAGUGGCUGCUCUGUUUAUAACACACCCAAUAGGAAUCUGGGGCCACUGUGAGGAGGGGCACAAGAUAUGUGUCCUAUGAACAAAUGCCCUACAUGU
RNAcentral lists this small nucleolar RNA (124 nucleotides) under Marmota marmota marmota (Alpine marmot). RNAcentral describes it as "Small nucleolar RNA SNORA11 (ENSMMMG00000022421.1)". It matches the Rfam family "Small nucleolar RNA SNORA11". From Rfam's summary of the family: U107 (SNORA11) is a member of the H/ACA class of snoRNAs that guide the sites of modification of uridines to pseudouridines. This snoRNA was identified by RT-PCR from blood cells and its expression confirmed by Northern blot analysis. There is no predicted target for this guide snRNA. Lineage: Eukaryota; Metazoa; Chordata; Mammalia; Rodentia; Sciuridae. The record is from Rfam by way of RNAcentral.